GAAUGGAAAUGAGAAUGAGAGUGAAUAUGGAAUUAAGGGGGGAGGAGGAAGGAGGGAGUAACAAAAAUGAAAACUAAAACUAAAAACUGAAAUCUAUUUGAAUUUGUUUUCACUUUUGUUACUCUUCCCUCCCAUCAUCUUCUCUCAUCCUUAUUCUCCUUCUCAC
Molecule: microRNA precursor, 166 nt
Filed under: Prunus dulcis (almond)
Lineage: Eukaryota; Viridiplantae; Streptophyta; Magnoliopsida; Rosales; Rosaceae
Description: sRNA ncRNA
Source: RNAcentral